GAAGGCCUUCGGGUUGUAAAGCACUUUAGGUAAGGAAGAAAAGUUAUUGGUUAAUACCCAAUAACCAUGACAUUACUUACAGAAUAAGGACCGGCUAACUCCGUGCCAGCAGCCGCGGUAAUACGGAGGGUCCAAGCGUUAAUCGGAAUUACUGGGCGUAAAGCGCGCGUAGGCGGUUUGACAAGUUGGGUGUGAAAUCCCCGGGCUUAACCUGGGAACUGCAUUCAAAACUUUUAAACUGGAGUACGGGAGAGGAGAGUAGAAUUCAUGGUGUAGCGGUGAAAUGCGUAGAUAUCAUGAGGAAUACCAAUGGCGAAGGCAACUCUCUGGACCGUAACUGACGCUGAGGUGCGAAAGCGUGGGUAGCAAACAGGAUUAGAUACCCUGGUAGUCCACGCCGUAACGAUGACAACUAGCCGUUGGACUUUCGAGUUCAGUGGCACAGCUAACGCAU
This 454-nucleotide ribosomal RNA is filed under the name uncultured Gammaproteobacteria bacterium. RNAcentral's name for it is "bacterial SSU rRNA". It matches the Rfam family "Bacterial small subunit ribosomal RNA", at positions 410 to 860 of the family's 1533-position model. The record is from RNAcentral. Lineage: Bacteria; Pseudomonadati; Pseudomonadota; Gammaproteobacteria.